NNNNNNNNNNNNNNNNNNNNNNNNNNNNNNNNNNNNNNNNNNNNNNNNNNNNNNNUUGGGGACAGUUGGGGACAGUUGGGGACAGUUGGGGAUAUUUGGGGACACUUGGGGACAGUUGGGGACACUCAGGGACACUUGGGGAUAUUUGGGGACAGUUGGGGAUAUUUGGGGACACUGGGGACAGUUGGGGAUAUUUGGGGACAGUUGGGGAUAUUUGGGGACACUUGGGGACACUUGGGGACAUUUGGGACACUUGGGGACAGUUGGGGAUAUUUGGGGACACUGGGGACAGUUGGGGACACUUGGGGACAGUUGGGGACACGGUGCCAGCGGCGUGACACGAGUGCGACCCCCCCGUGCAGGGAUGGGGACAAGGAUGGGGGGCUCUUCGUCAACACCAACCGUGUGGGGACCCCCGGGGACGAGGACACGGGGGACGAGGACACGGGGGACAGCGGAGAGGACACGGGGGACAGCGACAGCCAGGAGGACACCAGUGACAGCGGAGAGGACACGGGGGACAAGGACCCCGAGGAGGAGCACCCGGAGCACCCCAGUGACAGCGAGGGCGACACAGAAGGUGACACAGAAGGUGACACCGAGGGUGACACAGAAGGUGACACCGAGGGUGACACCAAGAGUGACCCAAAGGACCCCCGUGACAAGAGCGGCGGUGACAAGGACCCGAGUGACACAGAGGGUGACACAGAAGGUGACACAGAAGGUGACACAGAGGGUGACAUGAAGGGUGACCCGAAGGACCCCCGUGACAAGAUCGGCGGUGACAAGGACCCGAGUGACACCAAGGGUGACACCAAGGGUGACACAGAAGGUGACCCAAAGGACCCCCGUGACAAGAUCGGCCGUGACAAGGACCCAAGUGACCCCCAGGAGGACACAGAAGGUGACACCAAGGGUGACCCAAAGGACCCCCGUGACAAGAGCGGCGGUGACAAGGACCCGAGUGACCCCCAGGAGGACACAGAAGGUGACACGAAGGGUGACACAGAGAGUGACCCGAAGGACCCCCGUGACAAGAGCGGCGGUGACAAGGACCCGAGUGACCCCCAGGAGGACACGGGGGGGGCCGAGGCCACCCCCCAGCCCCGGGACAGGGGGGACACCGGGGGGGGUC
RNAcentral lists this long non-coding RNA (1135 nucleotides) under Lepidothrix coronata (blue-crowned manakin). RNAcentral's name for it is "lncRNA (ENSLCOG00000002795.1)". Lineage: Eukaryota; Metazoa; Chordata; Aves; Passeriformes; Pipridae. The record is from RNAcentral.